GUAGGUGGCAAGCGUUGUCCGGAAUUAUUGGGCGUAGAGCGCGCGCAGGUGGUUCUUUAAGUCUGAUGUGAAAGCCCCCGGCUCAACCGGGGAGGGUCAUUGGAAACUGGGGAACUUGAGUGCAGGAGAGGAAAGUGGAAUUCCACGUGUAGCGGUGAAAUGCGUAGAUAUGUGGAGGAACACCAGUGGCGAAGGCGACUUUCUGGCCUGUAACUGACACUGAGGCGCGAAAGCGUGGGGAGCAAACAGGGGGUUAGAUACCCUGGUAGUCCACGCCGUAAACGAUGAGUGCUAAGUGUUGGGGGGGUUUCCCGCCCCUCAGUGCUGCAGCUAACGCAUUAAGCACUCCGCCUGGGGAUACGGCCGCAAGACUG
This 374-nucleotide ribosomal RNA is filed under the name uncultured organism. Its description in RNAcentral is "partial 16S ribosomal RNA". It matches the Rfam family "Bacterial small subunit ribosomal RNA", at positions 527 to 896 of the family's 1533-position model. The record is from RNAcentral.